Molecule: ribosomal RNA, 606 nt
Filed under: uncultured bacterium
Lineage: Bacteria
Description: bacterial SSU rRNA
Rfam family: Bacterial small subunit ribosomal RNA (bases 58-584)
Source: RNAcentral
CUAACAGACCGGCGUGUAUACGUCAGUGAAGGCUGGUCGGUUUAAANGUCUCAACCCCUGGCCGGUCGUUUUACAGCUCCUGCAGUCGAGCGGGGAAGGUACUUGCUACCUGACCUACGGCGGACGGGUGAUUGCUUAGAAUCUGCCUAUAUGGGGGACACUCUCAAAAGGGAUAGCUAAUACCGCAUACGUCCUACGGGAGAAAGCAGGGGAUCUUCGGACCUUGCGCUAAUAGAUAGAGCCUAAGUCGGAUUAGCUAGUUGGUGGGGUAAAGGCCUACCAAGGCGACGAUCUGUAGCGGGUCUGAGAGGAUGAUCCGCCACACUGGGACUAGAGACACGGCCCAGACUACCUACGGGAGGCAGCAGUGGGGAAUAUUGGACAAUGGGGGGAACCCUGAUCCAGCCAUAGACCGCGUAGUAGUGAAGAAGGCCUAUAUAGGUUUGUAAAAGCACUUUAAAGCGACGGAAGGAGAGCUACUUUAGUUAAUACCUAGAGAUAGCUGGACGGUAACCUUCGAGCAGAAAUAAAGCACCGGCUAACUCUNUGCCAGCAAGACGCGGUAAAUACAGAAGGGUUGCAAGCGUNAAUCGAGAUUUUAANCUU